Long non-coding RNA from Mastomys coucha (southern multimammate mouse), 408 nucleotides. RefSeq lists it as uncharacterized. The record is from RefSeq and is a predicted model, not a curated record. Lineage: Eukaryota; Metazoa; Chordata; Mammalia; Rodentia; Muridae. The transcript has 3 exons.
CGUUUCCACUGGUAGUUUGGAGCACCUGCCUGUGAGAUUCUCAGACAGAGAUUCUAGGGUAGGUUUUCAGCCGCUCCAGGCACGAAGAUUCUGAUGGUAAUAAUCCAUGGGAAUUCUUCAAGGGAGACUCCGCUCCAGGCACGAAGAUUCUGAUGGUAAUAAUCCAUGGGAAUUCUUCAAGGGAGACUCCGUGGUAACACUUCCUUAGUCCCCAAUCCUGGUUGAGUUGACUCGUUCGGCCUCAGCGGGAGAGGAUGUGUCUAGUCCUGAAGUGACUUGAUGUGACAGGCUUUCCGGUCCCUCUGCGGUCGUCAGUCUCACUUCUCACGCAGACCUGUGGAUCGGAGUGCUCUUCUACCCUGUCACCUGCCUGGGCAGCCCUCAGACAAUGAGCAGUUCUUCAUAGUG